This is a long non-coding RNA of Passer domesticus (house sparrow), 233 nucleotides long. RefSeq lists it as uncharacterized. The transcript has 3 exons. NCBI's taxonomy places the organism in Eukaryota, Metazoa, Chordata, Aves, Passeriformes, Passeridae. The record is from RefSeq and is a predicted model, not a curated record.
UGCAGCUGAACCUGCCGGUGAAGGCCCCACAUCCAGGACUGAGGCUGUGGGAGAUGCUGAGGGUGUGUCUGCAGGGAGGACUUCUCAAGCUCCAGGGCUGGAUGCUUGGCCCCAACCCAGCUCCCAUGGCAGGGGUCCUCCAAAAGGGAAGACCCAAGAUACUGCAGCCAAAAUGUCUCAUGAGGCAGAUGAAUUCCUGAGAGAAACACAGAAGGAAGCACCCGGAGGACAAG